Molecule: small nuclear RNA, 32 nt
Filed under: Cervus elaphus hippelaphus
Lineage: Eukaryota; Metazoa; Chordata; Mammalia; Artiodactyla; Cervidae
Source: RNAcentral
GUGCUCGCUUCGGCAGCGCAUAUACUGAAAUU